AAGUCCUGAACCACAUUAUACCCCCAGUAAUAGGUUUUACCCUCCUCUCAUUUAAUCUCACUGCCUUGGAAGCCAAACCCAGCAGCCAGGGAUUAUUUUACACCCUAAGGACUAACCCUGGGAGAUAAGACAGAUGGGUCCUAGCCCAAACUCUCCCACUAACCAACAGGGAGACCCAGAUCUCGCUGAGGAGGAUGUGAGUCAUUGAGCGUCUCUGAUCCUCAGUUGCCCCAUCUGUGGAGCAAAGGAUUGGGACUAAUUUGCUGCUGGGACUAGUCCAAGACUCUAGAAGACCCUCACAAAAAUAGGUUCAUCUUACUGUCUACCUUCUUCUGAUGCUAAACUCAUCUUUACAAGCACCAAACAGGUUGAAUUUAGAAACUGAAAAAAAUAGACAAGCUUGCAAGAGCUCAGGAAGUUGUUUGGGAAGGCCCUGUGGGACAGGUGUGGAGUGACAGUUCUCCAUGUGAUGUUCUUUUGCUCUAAAUACUGACUGCUCUUCCUAUCCACGGUGUCUUACCAACCAGACACAGCCGUUUCCAGGACUGACUUUCAUCUCCCUCCAACAAGACCUCCUCAAUCCGGUUUAGGAAUCCCAGGAUUUGAGUGGCAAGGAUACAGUUCAUGGGCCUGGUUUCAGGUUAUUAGCACUGAUGGAGGAAGGGCCUGGGCAGAACUUUCACGAUCACUUGUCAUCUCAUGAAUAAAUAUUUAUUAACUUGCAUGUGCUAUUAAAUAGGUUGAGGCCCUGCAUUGUAUGCAGGUAGUUAAUCCUUUGCAGGACUUAAAUAAUGACAGGGAAACAGGGAGAAUGAAAGAGAAAACAUCUGUAAUGGUGGGGAGGGUGAAUGUCUUAUAUUGAUUUCCAUUACCUGUUGAUACCCCCUCCCCAUAAACACAAAAUGUAAUUUUUCCAAAUUUAAAAGAAGUAAUAGCCUACUGUGGGCAGUGCAGAAACUACUCAGAAAUUGGCACUGUCUUUGACAAUUGCCUGGCCUUUGUUGGAGGAACUACUGAUUAGUACCUACUUGGAAAAUGAGGAAAGUGGAGCCAUACAUGUGCUAUUUCUUUAAAUAUCCUGGCAAGAAGCUGUGUGUUAAAGGAAAAGAAUCAGCAGCAAAGAUGGCCCCAUCUGUAUAGAGGUGUUGGUCUGUAAAGUUCUAGUUUCUUCUGGGGCCUUCU
Molecule: long non-coding RNA, 1182 nt
Filed under: Bos grunniens (domestic yak)
Lineage: Eukaryota; Metazoa; Chordata; Mammalia; Artiodactyla; Bovidae
Description: lncRNA (ENSBGRG00000008606.1)
Source: RNAcentral